UGGGGAAUAUUGCACAAUGGGCGAAAGCCUGAUGCAGCGACGCCGCGUGAGGGAUGACGGCCUUCGGGUUGUAAACCUCUUUCAGCAGGGACGAAGCGCAAGUGACGGUACCUGCAGAAGAAGCGCCGGCUAACUACGUGCCAGCAGCCGCGGUAAUACGUAGGGUGCAAGCGUUGUCCGGAAUUACUGGGCGUAAAGAGUUCGUAGGCGGUUUGUCGCGUCGUUUGUGAAAACCAGCAGCUCAACUGCUGGCUUGCAGGCGAUACGGGCAGACUUGAGUACUGCAGGGGAGACUGGAAUUCCUGGUGUAGCGGUGAAAUGCGCAGAUAUCAGGAGGAACACCGGUGGCGAAGGCGGGUCUCUGGGCAGUAACUGACGCUGAGGAACGAAAGCGUGGGUAGCGAACAGG
RNAcentral lists this ribosomal RNA (409 nucleotides) under Brucella melitensis. RNAcentral describes it as "partial 16S ribosomal RNA". It matches the Rfam family "Bacterial small subunit ribosomal RNA", at positions 355 to 776 of the family's 1533-position model. The record is from RNAcentral. Lineage: Bacteria; Pseudomonadati; Pseudomonadota; Alphaproteobacteria; Hyphomicrobiales; Brucellaceae. RNAcentral also lists the same sequence under 1 other name.